Molecule: non-coding RNA, 5771 nt
Organism: Triticum urartu
Lineage: Eukaryota; Viridiplantae; Streptophyta; Magnoliopsida; Poales; Poaceae
Source: RefSeq, a predicted model, not a curated record
CCUUCCCCCCUCCCCCCCCCCCCCCCCACAAUCCGCCUAGGAGCUGCAGCUCCGUCCACCGCGCCGAGGAGCAGCAGCGCCAUCCCCCACAUCCGCCCAGGAGCUGCAGCUCCGUCCGCCGCGCCGAGGAGCAGUAGCGCCGUCCCCCACAUCCGGCCAGGAGCUGCAGCGCCGUCCGCUAUGCCGAGGAGAAGCAGCACCUACCACUGGCAAGGAGAAGCAGAAGGGUCAGACGCAAGGAUCCACCAUUGUUCUUCCUCAACGGGUGACCUCUGUUCCGGUUGAUUACUUUCCUCCGCCCCGCCUACAGAUUAUAGAGCAACAUCGAUACUCUGAGUGUAUAUUUCACUUAGUAGUUUGUGAAUUACUUGUGAAGGUGCAGCCACCAUGGACAAAAGGUGGAUGGAUGAGCCUAGGCACACAAAGGUGUAUUUGGAAGUGGUGGAAAAAUUCUUAAGCUUUGCAUUUAGUAAUUCAUCCGGAAACAAAAUAUUAUGUCCUUGUAAGAACUGUUCAAACUCAUUUUGGAAUGAAGAAAUAGAGGUGCGUGAGCAUCUGGUAUGUGAUGGGUUUCUCCGUGGGUAUAAAACUUGGAUUUUUCAUGGAGAAUCUAGUUCUUCUUGAAUGUUCCUGAUGCUCAUGAGAAUGAGGUUGAGGAGGAGUCACCUGAAGAGGAUGACAUUUCUGAUUUUCUUCGAGACUUAGGGGGGCGGUUUAGAUAAGGAGGGGGAUUUCGAAGAUGACGCAGUUUCUGAGCAGACCGAUGCAUAUUUAGAAGCUCUUCAAAAGUUGAAAAUGACUCUAGUCAAGAGCUAUAUCCUGGGUGUAAGAAGUUCUCAAAACUGCAUUUCAUAAUUAGACUACUUCAUGUCAAAUUGCUUGGUGGAUGGUCAGGUAAAAGUUUUAACCUGCUGCUAGAUCUACUUAAUGAUGCUUUUCCUGAAGGAUCCUCACUAGCCAAGAACUAUAAUAAGGCUAAGAAAUUGGUGAAAUGCCUAGGACUUGGAUAUGUUAGUAUUCAUGCAUGUGAACAUGAUUGCAUCCUCUUCUGGAAAAACCAUGCUAAGGCUGAUGUUUGUCCAAUAUGCAAUACAUCACGAUGGAAAUCUGAAAAGAAGAGUCUAGAUGGAAAACGUGUCCACAAGGUACCUAGGAAGGUUCUCCGUUAUUUUCCAAUAAAGAAAAGGCUACAGAGGUUGUUUAUGUGUUCCAGAACAGUAGCUCUCACCAGAUGGCAUGAUGAAGGGCGUACAAAAGAUGGUUUGAUCAGGCAUCCAGCCGAUUCUGCUCAAUGGAAGUAUUUUGAUGAGUUGCAUGAGGACUUUGCUAAGGACAACUGCCAUUUUAGGCUUGGAUAUGGAGCAUAUGGUUUUAAUCCUUUUAGAUCCAAUAAUGCUAAUUAUAGCGUUUGGCCUGUUAUCUUGAUUCCUUAUAACUUCCCUCCUUGGAUGUGCAUGGAGCAAUCAAUUUUUUUUCCUCACAUUGUUGAUUCCUGGUAAACAUGCUCCUGAUAGUGAUAUGGAUGUUUAUCUAGAGCCGUUAAUUGAUGAUAUGGUAGAUAUGUUUCUUCAUGGUGUCAGAACAUACGAUGCUUCAAAAGAAGAGUUUUUUAAUUUGAAGGCUGUUAUAUUAUGGACCAUUCAUGAUUUCCCGGGCCUAGUGUAUACAACUGGUUAUACCACCUCCGGUGAAGGAGCUUGUCCUGAAUGUCAUUCUGACACAUGUUCUCUUAUGCUGAAUAAUGGUAGCAAGACAUGCUACAUGGGACAUCGCAGGUUCUUACAUGAAGACCACCCCUUUAGGUCCAAUACCCACUCUUUUGAUGGCAUUGCUGAGCAUAGGCCAGCGCCAAUUCCUCUCUCUGGAUCAGAAAUUGUUGCUCAGACGAAAGAUAUGCAUACAGUUUUUGGGAAGGAUCCUUCCGGGAAGAAGAAAACCAAGCGGAAGCGCAAGGAUGAUGAGCCGUUAAUAGUUUGGAAAAGGAAGUCUAUUUUUUUCAGGCUGCCAUAUUGGGAGAGCUUGUUGCAGCGUCACAACUUAGACGUCAUGCACAUAGAAAAAAUGUAUGUGAGAACAUAAUCAACACAUUGUUGUGCAUUGAUGGGAAGUCUAAGGAUAAUCUGAACUCUCGCUUGGACCUUCAAGCUCUAAACAUUAGAAGUGACCUUCAUCCUGUUGAACUUGAAGUAGAAGAUAAAUUUUAUUUACCUCCAGCACCUUAUGAAAUGAAUGUUGCCCAACAGAGGUUAUUUUGUGGAGUAUUUAAAGGAGCUAGGUUCCCGUACGGGUUAGCAGCUGAUAUACGUGGUAAUAUGCAUGUCAAGGAAAGGAAAAUAAUCAGGCUAAAGAGCCAUGACAACCACAUCUUGAUGCAACAUGUGCUACCACUUGCUGUGAGAAGGCUAUUGCCCGAAAAAGUUAGUGCAGCACUGAUUCGUGUUAGCAAUUUUUUCAAGCAGAUUUACUCACAUGUUAGUUCUGUUAGUGAUAUGGAAGAACUAGAGGCUGAAAUAGCUGAGACCUUGAGCAUUCUUGAGACUAUAUUCCCCCCAUCCUUUUUUGAUAUCAUGGUACACUUGAUGGUGCAUCUUCCAGCCCAAGCAAAAAUAGUUGGUCCAGUGCAUUUUCGCAACAUGUUUCCUAUAAAAAGGUAUUUGUGCCGGUGUAAGGGCUUUGUUCAUACUAGAAGUCAUCCAGAGGGAUCUAUUGUCGAGAGCUAUUUAUUUGAUGAGACUCUUACGUACUGUUCUCGGUAUAUAAAAGGCCAAACUCAGUUUACUCGACAAAUUAGAAAUGAUCAAGGUUUGGGUAUGGAAACUAGUAGUACCACACCUUUCUUCAGCAACCUUGGUCGAGGACUAGUUGGCAAGCAUUUUGUGUUAUUGGACAAUAAGACUUGGAUUCAAGCUCAUAGAUAUGUCUUGUUCAACUAUGACCACAUAGAACCUUAUUUGAAGCAAGCUGUCCAUUUUUUGUUUUGCAAUUUGCAUUUUAUUUAUGCUUGUUGUUGAAGUGAUGAAUACUUUGCAGCAAGCAUAAGGAAUAUCUUUCCUCAGUUGGUCUUAAAAAUAAUCGACAAAUUAGUCGUGUCGAGCAUGAGACCUUCCAUGAGUGGUUUAAGAAGCAUGUAAGUGGUCACAUGUCUCUCCUUUCUUGUGAUGUAUAUAUAUGCAGUGAGUUCCAUCCAAUUUUAAAAACACUAUUCCACAUUCACGGGUGGAAUAAAUGGGUGACAGAGUGCCAGAGGAGAUAAGUAUUUUAGCUCAGGGGCCAUUCAAAGUUGCACAACAGUUUAGUAGCUAUACUAGAAAUGGCUUACAUGUUCAUAUGCAGUCCUAUGAUGAUGGUAGGCCAGUGCAAAAUAGUGGUGUAGCUCUAGUUAUGCAUACUACAGGUUAUGAAAAAGGAAACGUUGAUAAUAUGAUAAUAGGAAACCAAACAUUUUACGGCAUCAUAAAGGAAAUUCUUGAGUUGAACUAUGAAAAUAAAGGGAAAACAGUUCUCUUCAAAUGUGAUUGGGUUGACAACCGCAGGAAAGACAAGUGGGUAAAAGUUGAUCGCCUUGGGGUAACUUCUAUGAAUUUCAAGCAUUUGGUCAAUACUGGUGAAAAUAUAUCGGAUGAGCCUUUCGUUUUAGCAUCGCAAGCAACUCAAGUUUUCUAUGUUGAAGACCCAAUUGAUGAUGAAUGGCUUACUGUUAGCCACUACAAUCCACGGGGCUCAUAUGCCAUGCAUGAAGCUGAAGAUGAGGAUGUAGAGACCGCUAUGCCAAUGUUUGAUCCACAUAUCUAUUCAUGUUUCCAUGAUGAUCUUCAAAGUAUUAAUUGUGCUAGAACAGACAUGGAUGGGAGAAUUGUGUAUGCUAAAAAAUCUAGAAAGUAAGGGGCAUUUGCAUUUUUUUUGUUGCCUUGUGUUUUAAUCUCCUUGCUAUGCAUAUUUAUCCAAUAUUGUCUGUUAAGCAUAUUGUUCUAACAUUUGUCACUUGCAAGAAAAAAGAUGGUAGGAACAAGUUCCUCUGCUAGAUGAAACGACGAGGCUUGAAAAUAUUGCAGAAAAUGAGAGAAAGGUGAGAGCUCUUAUAGAACUUAAAAGGAAUGAAGCAUUGGGAGGAAACAAGAAUCCCACUAAGAAAGGUUCAUCACAACCACCCAGGAAAAGGAAAAAGGUUGUGUACUUCUCAUUGUUUACAUUCAAUGUACUUCUCAUUGUUCACAAGCAUUGGAUGAAGCAUUGUGUACCACCUUUCACACAUGUUUAUGCUUUUUUUCCAAGGCAAAUAACUGCACAAGUGAAGUUGCAAAUGGAGGGCGUAAUCUGCGUUCCCAGUCAAGGUUAAACCAUGAUGCUGAAGAUCCAAAUAAUGAACCCAUAGGACAUGGCUUAGAUGACAUUCAAGCAAAUGCUUCAGUUGUGACUGUACACCAAAAAAAGAAGAGAGGAAGGGGUCCCACCAAAUUAAGGAAGAUAUAUGAUAGAGACCAACCAAAACAAAAGGUUGAACUAAAUGAGUUUGGUUAGCCUAUUGGUAGCAAUGGUAAAACAUUUGCUAAUUUCAUUGGAACAUUGGUAAGGAAGCAAUGGUCGGUGCUAAUUGAGGACUGGAGAUAUGUUGAUCCCGUGUUAAAGUUGAAGCUAUGGGAUGACAUAAAGUCAUAUUUUGAGGUGGAUGAAGCUGCUUUCGAUUACUUUAUGACCGCAGCUGCAAAGAAAUGGAGAGAAUUUAAGUCAUACCUAAAGGAGAAGUUUGAUGCCACAUUGACAGAUGAGGAACUUAUGGAAAGACCUGAUGAAAGAAUUCAAAAGGACGAUUGGAUACAACUUAUCGAUCAAUGGAGAAAACCAGAAUCUGAGGAUAGCAGUGCUAGAAACAAACAAAAUCGUUCCAAUUUGAAAUUGCUACAUGUAGCUGGCAGCAAGAGUUUUGCUCGUGUUGGUCAUGAUAUGGCUCAGAAACUUGGGUACUAUCCAGGAAGAGACCAAAUAUUUGUUGAAGUACAUACAAGUAAGAAAACCAGAGUUCCCACCCCACUAGCAAUGCCACUAAUUAAGAAACUUCAAACUGAAGCUAAACUCCACCCAGAAUUGGAGGGAAAUUCUAUUGAAGAAGGGGAUCUUUAUGCACAUACUUUUGGAGAGAAGGAACCAAGAGGACGUGUCCAUAUGUUGGGUACGGGGCCAACUCCACAGAGUGUGGGCGCGCCUGGAACAAAAGCUAAAUUUCCAACAAAGCUAGCAAUGCAAAUACAACUUCGUCGACGUGUUGAACAAGAAGUUUCAACUCUAAAGGAGAGAAUGCAAGCAAUGGAAUGACGCUUCAAUGAGAUGCAGCACGCCAUGUUUUCACAAGGAAGUCACAGUGUUGAAACGCCCACGCCUUCGCCUCCUAAUUCUGUCUCUCGACCCGUGUUCUCACGUUUUUUACCGGAUGAUGACGAUGAGGAAGAGGAACAUGAGGGUCAUCAUGAUACAGUCCAGGAAGAUAGAGGCUUGUUCAUCCAGAAGCAUAUACCAUCUAGCCAUAAUGUUCCAGCCACACAUUUACCACCUAGAAGCCAUGUGGCCACUCCAAGCGCCGUCAGGCCUCUCAAGCCUCAUGAUCAAGAAGACCUUGUAAUCAUCUCAUCUCUUAACUACACAUAUCUUGUUGUGUUGUGUUUGCCAUUCUUCAUGUUUCUCAUAGACGAUGCAUGAAUUAGGUUGGUAGGGAUGUCAUAUUAUAUAGAGAAUCAUAUUUGUGAGGACAUAGUUAAUCAAAAGCAACCGUCCCCCAA